RNAcentral lists this ribosomal RNA (430 nucleotides) under uncultured bacterium. RNAcentral's name for it is "partial 16S ribosomal RNA". It matches the Rfam family "Bacterial small subunit ribosomal RNA", at positions 354 to 796 of the family's 1533-position model. The record is from RNAcentral.
GUGGGGAAUAUUGCACAAUGGGCGCAAGCCUGAUGCAGCGACGCCGCGUGAGGGAUGGAGGCCUUCGGGUUGUAAACCUCUUUUAUCGGGGAGCAAGCGAGAGUGAGUUUACCCGUUGAAUAAGCACCGGCUAACUACGUGCCAGCAGCCGCGGUAAUACGUAGGGUGCAAGCGUUAUCCGGAAUUAUUGGGCGUAAAGGGCUCGUAGGCGGUUCGUCGCGUCCGGUGUGAAAGUCCAUCGCUUAACGGUGGAUCCGCGCCGGGUACGGGCGGGCUGGAGUGCGGUAGGGGAGACUGGAAUUCCCGGUGUAACGGUGGAAUGUGUAGAUAUCGGGAAGAACACCAAUGGCGAAGGCAGGUCUCUGGGCCGUUACUGACGCUGAGGAGCGAAAGCGUGGGGAGCGAACAGGAUUAGAAACCCGGGUAGUCC